RNAcentral lists this RNase P RNA (249 nucleotides) under Neotoma lepida (desert woodrat). Its description in RNAcentral is "Nuclear RNase P". It matches the Rfam family "Nuclear RNase P", at positions 1 to 208 of the family's 301-position model. From Rfam's summary of the family: Ribonuclease P (RNase P) is a ubiquitous endoribonuclease, found in archaea, bacteria and eukarya as well as chloroplasts and mitochondria. Lineage: Eukaryota; Metazoa; Chordata; Mammalia; Rodentia; Cricetidae. The record is from Rfam by way of RNAcentral.
GGUGGCGGAAGCUCCUCAGUGGGGCCACCUGCUGAGAGCUCCUCACUCCCUGGCCCCUGGAAAGGUCUGAGACUGGGGCCUCCCACGGCCCUAACCUGGCCGUGUGAGCAGACUUUCAAGCUCCUGGGAGCUUGAAACAGACUCACUGCCAGAGCAGGCAGUAUUAGCAUACAAGAGAAGCUCUGUGGCUUUUACAGAGGAGAGAGAGAUAUAGCAAGGGCCAUUUCCUUCAGUAGCUCUCUUGCUAUC